Molecule: long non-coding RNA, 2205 nt
Filed under: Phaseolus vulgaris (common bean)
Lineage: Eukaryota; Viridiplantae; Streptophyta; Magnoliopsida; Fabales; Fabaceae
Description: long non-coding RNA (PVUL_LNC002694)
Source: RNAcentral
CCAUGGUGGCCAUGAUGCCAUCCCCUGGCAUGGGCCAUCUAAUCCCGAUGAUCGAGUUCGCCAAGCGAGUCGUUCGCUACCAUAACCUGUCGGUCACCUUCGUCAUCCCCACCCAAGGCCCACCUUCCAAGGCCCAAACCGCCGUCCUCCACGCUCUCCCCGACUCCAUCUCCCACACCUUCCUCCCUCCGGUCACUCUCUCGGACCUCCCGCCUGACGCAAUGAUCGAAACCACCAUGUCCCACGUCGUCCUCCGCUCCCUCCCUUCCCUACGCGAAGCCUUCCAUUCUCUCUCCGCCACCCACACACUCGCAGCCCUUGUUGUCGACCUCUUCUCCACCGACGCCUUUGACAUCGCCGCCGAAUUCAACGCCUCCCGCUACGUCUUCUUCCCAUCCACCGCCACUGCCCUCUCCCUCUUCUUCUACCUCCCAACCCUAGACCAGGAGGCCCACUGCGAGUUCCGGGACCUCCCCGAACCGGUGACCAUCCCUGGCUGCAUUCCUAUUCACGGAAGGGAUUUACUCGACCCGGUUCAGGACCGCAAGAACGAGGCCUACAAGUGGGUCCUACACCACGCGAAGAGGUAUAGAGAAGCCGAGGGAAUAAUCGAGAACAGCUUCGCAGAGCUUGAACCGGGAGCUUGGCGCGAGUUGCAGAAGGAACAACCGGGACGGCCCCCGGUUUACGCGGUGGGGCCAUUAGUCAGAAUGGAAACGGGUCCAGUGGAGUCGGAGUGUUUAAGGUGGUUAGAUGAGCAGCCUCGUGGGAGCGUGUUAUUUGUAUCCUUCGGAAGCGCUGGGACCCUCUCCAGUGCCCAGAUCAAGGAGCUGGCUCACGGGCUGGAAGCGAGCGAGCAACGGUUUUUGUGGGUGGUGAAGAGCCCAAACGACGAAAUCGCCAACGGUUCUUAUUUCAAAGCGGAGACUGCGGCGGAUCCGUUUGGGUUUUUACCCGAAGGGUUUGUGGAGAGAACGAAAGGUAGGGGCCUUUUGGUUCCCUCUUGGGCUCCGCAACCUCAGGUUCUGGCCCAUCCCUCCACCGCUGGGUUCCUCACCCAUUGCGGCUGGAACUCCAUUCUGGAGAGCGUGGUGAACGGGGUGUCCUUCAUCGCAUGGCCCCUCUUCGCGGAGCAGAGGAUGAACGCCUUUAUGCUCACCCACGACGUCAAGGUAGCGCUGAGGCCCAAAGUUUCCGAUAAUGGCUUAGUGGAGAGACAGCAAAUAAGUAGCGUUGUGAAGUCCCUGAUGGAAGGUGAAGAGGGGAAGAAGCUGCGUUACCGAAUGAAGGAUCUGAAGGAUGCUGCUGCCAUGGCUCUCGCUGAAGACGGUUCCUCCACCAACCAUAUCUCCCAUUUGGCCCUCAUCUGGGCCAACAAAACUGCUCCAAAACCUCGUCAAUUAAAUUAAAGCCUUCCUCCUGUACUAUCCCCACUUAACUUAUUUUUGUUUUUAAUUAUAAAUAUGCCUGUAGUUUUUCAAAUUUGGAUCAUAACUUCGUUUACUACACUGCAGAUGGAUAAAAUGGCAUAAAUAAAUAAAUAAAAAAUUGGGUAGAGUGUGAAGAAGUGUAAUAAAAUUGAAUUUCACGUGGCGCUUCACAUCCCAAUGAUAACGACCAGGGAUAGUGGCGAAAAAGAGGAGGGCCCAGUGGACGCAAAAUUCGUAGCUCCACCGUGACCAGUAACAAUAUAUCCAAAACUGGACGUGGCUAGCAUUAGACGGUAGAACUUGGAAGGAGUAGGAUUCCAUGUGUAGGUGUCGUCACAUAACUCAAUGCCCGCCAUGAUGAUUGUAAUAAGAAAAUUAAUCUUGGUUUUACUUCAUUCAACCACUUCUUUCAAUAAGUCUUAGCUAACGUGCGUUAAUUUCUUCAGUUUGGUAAAAUGCCUUCAACCAGAUUAAGGGAGAUUAUAACAUAAUAAUAUUUCUCUCAUAAUCUAGGAUUAAGUGCUUGAUUCAUAUAGACUUUAUCGCAUUCUUGUAGAAAUGCUACAAAUACUGCUCGUCAUCUUUUGUCUCUGGCCCCGUCCCAUGCGGAUGGCAUUUUCCUUGGUCAGCCACACUAUCUAUAUGAUGCUCUCUUCAAAAACAGUGUGCUUCUCAGGAUCCACCUGUUAUAGAGAAUAAAAUUAUUUUCAUACUGUUCAAAUAUAAUUGAAAAAAGAAAAAUAUUAUUUUCACACCCACUUUUUGCAUUGCUUCA